RNAcentral lists this ribosomal RNA (491 nucleotides) under uncultured bacterium. RNAcentral describes it as "partial 16S ribosomal RNA". It matches the Rfam family "Bacterial small subunit ribosomal RNA", at positions 29 to 507 of the family's 1533-position model. The record is from RNAcentral.
GUGAACGCUGGCGGUAGGCCUAACACAUGCAAGUCGAACGGCAGCACAGUAAGAGCUUGCUCUUACGGGUGGCGAGUGGCGGACGGGUGAGGAAUACAUCGGAAUCUACUUUUUCGUGGGGGAUAACGUAGGGAAACUUACGCUAAUACCGCAUACGACCUACGGGUGAAAGCAGGGAAUCUUCGGACCUUGCGCGAUUGAAUGAGCCGAUGUCGGAUUAGCUAGUUGGCGGGGUAAAGGCCCACCAAGGCGACGAUCCGUAGCUGGUCUGAGAGGAUGAUCAGCCACACUGGAACUGAGACACGGUCCAGACUCCUACGGGAGGCAGCAGUGGGGAAUAUUGGACAAUGGGCGCAAGCCUGAUCCAGCCAUACCGCGUGGGUGAAGAAGGCCUUCGGGUUGUAAAGCCCUUUUGUUGGGAAAGAAAAGCAGCAGGUUAAUACCCCGCUGUUCUGACGGUACCCAAAGAAUAAGCACCGGCUAACUUCGUG